CAUGCAUCUCUAAACACGUGAAAGCGUGUGACCCUUCGGGGAAUUUGCACAGGUGCUGCAUGGCCGUCGUCAGCUCGUGUCGUGAGAUGUUGGGUUAAGUCCCGCAACGAGCGCAACCCUUGUGAUUAGUUGCCAGCACGUAAUGGUGGGAACUCUAGUCAGACUGCCCAGAUCAACUGGGAGGAAGGUGGGGACGACGUCAGGUCAGUAUGGCCCUUACGCCUUGGGCUGCACACGUACUACAAUGCCCGGCACAAUGAGAACCGAUACCGUGAGGUGGAGGAAAUCUGUAAAACUGGGCUCAGUUCGGAUUGGAGGCUGCAACUCGCCUCCAUGAAGUUGGAAUCGCUAGUAAUGGGGCAUCAUCUACGGCCCCGUGAAUACGUUCCCGGGUCUUGUACACACCGCCCGUC
RNAcentral lists this ribosomal RNA (413 nucleotides) under uncultured Verrucomicrobiota bacterium. RNAcentral describes it as "bacterial SSU rRNA". It matches the Rfam family "Bacterial small subunit ribosomal RNA", at positions 985 to 1398 of the family's 1533-position model. The record is from RNAcentral. Lineage: Bacteria; Pseudomonadati; Verrucomicrobiota.